RNAcentral lists this ribosomal RNA (292 nucleotides) under uncultured bacterium. Its description in RNAcentral is "partial 16S ribosomal RNA". It matches the Rfam family "Bacterial small subunit ribosomal RNA", at positions 28 to 312 of the family's 1533-position model. The record is from RNAcentral.
GAUGAACGCUAGCUACAGGCUUAACACAUGCAAGUCGAGGGGCAGCAUGGUCUUAGCUUGCUAAGGCCGAUGGCGACCGGCGCACGGGUGAGUAACACGUAUCCAACCUGCCGUCUACUCUUGGACAGCCUUCUGAAAGGAAGAUUAAUACAAGAUGGCACCAUGAGUUCACAUGUUCACAUGAUUAAAGGUAUUCCGGUAGACGAUGGGGAUGCGUUCCAUUAGGCAGUUGGCGGGGUAACGGCCCACCAAACCGACGAUGGAUAGGAGUUCUGAGAGGAAGGUCCCCACA